CCAUGACCGAGCCUUUGAAGAGCUCUUUGGAAUCUGCAUCCAGCUGUUGAACAAGACCUGGAAGGAGAUGAGGGCAACAGCAGAGGACUUCAACAAGGUUAUGCAAGUCGUCCGAGAGCAAAUCACUCGAGCUUUGCCCUCCAAACCCAACUCUUUGGAUCAGUUCAAGAGCAAAUUGCGUAGCCUGAGUUACUCUGAGAUUCUACGACUGCGCCAGUCUGAGAGGAUGAGUCAGGAUGACUUCCAGUCCCCGCCAAUUGUGGAGCUGAGGGAGAAGAUCCAGCCCGAGAUCCUUGAGCUGAUCAAGCAGCAGCGCCUGAACCGGCUCUGUGAGGGCAGCAGCUUCCGAAAGAUUGGGAACCGCCGAAGGCAAGAACGGUUCUGGUACUGCCGGUUGGCACUGAACCACAAGGUCCUUCACUAUGGUGACUUGGAUGACAACCCACAAGGGGAGGUGACAUUUGAAUCCCUGCAGGAGAAAAACAUUAAGGCCAUUGUCACUGGGAAAGAUUGUCCCCACAUGAAAGAGAAAAGUGCUCUGAAACAGAACAAG
RNAcentral lists this small RNA (553 nucleotides) under Pan troglodytes (chimpanzee). RNAcentral describes it as "processed transcript". Lineage: Eukaryota; Metazoa; Chordata; Mammalia; Primates; Hominidae. The record is from RNAcentral.